Long non-coding RNA from Acromyrmex echinatior (Panamanian leafcutter ant), 337 nucleotides. Lineage: Eukaryota; Metazoa; Arthropoda; Insecta; Hymenoptera; Formicidae. The record is from RefSeq and is a predicted model, not a curated record.
UCAAGAUUAUAAGAAGCACGCCACAUCCCUCAGUAAGACUGAGAAGGGGAAUGAAACCUUCCAGAGAGUGAAUUUGAGACUAUAGGAGCAACAGGUGAAAAACAGAAGACAAACAAAAGACAGAUGAUAGAAGAUAUUUUACAGAUAAAAGAUACAGUUUUUACACAUACCAAAACAAAAAAAAUAUAAACAAAAUACGUACGAAUCACCGUCUAAGCAGUGUUAUUAGAUGACAGUGUACAUUUCGUCGCUGAAUGAUAUGGAGAAACAGAAAUUACUCAAAUAACAGCUGUUACUUUUAUCUCUCAAAUAGACCAACACUUAUCAGUAUUAAAUA